CAAGGAAUUUUCCCCAAUGGGCGCAAGCCUGAGGGAGCAACGCCGCGUGGAGGAUGACGGCUUUCGGGUUGUAAACUCCUUUUGGGGGGGGCGAUAAUGACGGUACCCCCGAACAAGCCCCGGCUAACUACGUGCCAGCAGCCGCGGUAAUACGUAGGGGGCAAGCGUUGUCCGGACUUACUGGGCGUAAAGCGUGUGCAGGCGGGUGGCUAUGUGCCGUGUGAAAGCUCCGCGCUUAUCGCGGAGAGGUCGCGGUAGACAGGCUGCCUGGAGGCUCGGAGAGGUCAGUGGAAUUCUCGGUGUAGUGGUGAAAUGCGUAGAUAUCGAGAGGAACACCAGUGGCGCAAGCGGCUGACUGGCCGAGACCUGACGCUGAGACACGACGGCGUGGGGAGCAAACCGGAUUAGAUACCCGGGUAGUCCACGCAGUAAACGAUGCAUACCCGGUGUUGGGUGCGCUGUUACAGGCGCACGCAGUGCCCAAGCUUACGUG
This 493-nucleotide ribosomal RNA is filed under the name uncultured Chloroflexota bacterium. RNAcentral's name for it is "bacterial SSU rRNA". It matches the Rfam family "Bacterial small subunit ribosomal RNA", at positions 355 to 859 of the family's 1533-position model. The record is from RNAcentral. Lineage: Bacteria; Bacillati; Chloroflexota.